UGGAAGACAAGAAAAGCUGGGUGAGCUAGGUCGUAGAGAUCAGAGGCAGAGAAGAAUCAAUGGAAGCAGUUAAGUAAGAAGGAGAGGAAGCUGGGGAAUUGACUAAGGAGUAACAGUAGAGGUCGACCAAGCACUGCCAAUCAGAAUGUCCCUAAAGAGAGUCAAAGCCUACAACCACUGCUAACGAGUCUAUCCGACCCGAGUCUAAGAAUCAAACUAGUGAAACUCAGCCUUAAACUCUAACCUAGGAAUACGGAAUUACAGAAUGAGUUUACAUAGCGGAGGGAUAUCCUGAGUGAGAUUAGAUGGAGUGGGGAUCUUUCUUACUAACUACUUACAACGUUGCUUGUCGGCCGAACACAGGCAUUGAAGUCACCAGUUACCUUAUUCUAUGAAACCAGUUACCUUAUUCUAUUUAUUGUAUAUGAAUAGUUACUUCACACUGUAUUAGUACUAAGAGAAGUGAGUAUUAGUAGAUUCAUUGGGUACAAUCUAGCGCAUCUAGUAGAAGACACAGAAUUUCACUCCCCGGACUAACGCUUUGAACUCGCUACCGCUACACAUUUCAUUAGUAGUUUCUUCUGCCCUUCCCUGGCUAGUAUAGUCGUUUCUUCUUCCCCGAACUCAACUUCUAUUUGAACAACUCCCUUUCCUUUGCAAUGGAAUCUCCAUCUAAUUACCUAUGAGCUUCUCUUUUGAAAACCUCAACUCUCACUGCUCCUGACGCAGACGCUGAUGCGCUAAUAGGAAUUGUGGAAUCGAAUCCACCCUAUCUCUAUAUCUAUCUCUUAUUACCAAUUAUUUCUAUAUCAUAACCCUUAUCUUUUACUUGCGCUUACGGAGCUCAUCACCUUGUUCUUUGGCUUCUAAACUAACUUAUUGCUUUCCCUAACCAUAACAACCUUAGGCUAGAUCGAAAGCAACAAACAAUGGAACAACCUUUAUUGCAUUUGAGUCCAGAAAGCUUCAAGUAAGGGCAGAGGUUCUCAUGCCAAGAAAGAAAGAAAGAUUAUUUGAUUAAAGGCAACGGACGGAGUUUGUUUACGUUCCUAUAUAUCUCUAUUUGUGUAAUGCUAAUGCUAUAGAAUAUGAAAAUGAUAUACUUCACUACACCGAACAAGCAAAGCAGAAAAGCUACAAUAAUACUGAUAAAUAAACUACACUGAGAAGAUACCGCGUAGUGAACAGACGUCAAGCCAAUCACUGAUCUCGCUGCUGCACUUAUAAGAAAUACUUCCGGACUUUGAAUCUACUUUACUUAUAUUCUGACUUGAGAGUUUAUGACUUGAGAGUUUAUGACUUGAGAGUUGCAUUCUGGAUUCUAUAAUUCCUUAUUUCUUGUUGAUGUUCAAAUGCUUUUGAGCCUUCUAACAUAGACGACCUGAUCUGAGAGACCAGACCUUCUUCUUAACAUAGACGACCUGAGCUGAGAGACCAGACCUUCUUAACAUAGACCUGAGCUGAGAGUAAAGUAAGUCAUAUCCAAAUAUGGUUCUGGAAUGAUUUCCCGCCCUAUACUGGACCAUCGGAAAGAGGCACCCUAUACUAUUGACUAAUCACUCUUUUCGGUAACUAAGCAAUAAUGAAGAGUAAGCUCUAAGCUGUUUGGUUAUUCGCGGAGUGUUUAUUUCAUCUGUACCUAAGCUGCUUUCAUAUGUACCUUGUGUUGGUACCUAAGCAGUAAGAUGUGUUGUUACUAUACUUAGAAUAGAAGAUGGAUCCACACUACAUAUCUUAUUAAAGAAAGAAAGGCUGGACAAUAAGUAUCUUUAAGCAAUGCGGGCAAGGCAGGACAGACAAUAAGUAUCUUUAAGCAAUGCUAUUUGUUGACUCUUUAUUCUAUGUGCGUGUGUAACGCUCUCUCUUUUAUUCAAUGCUGUUUGUUUACUUCUUUUCUUUAGUUCUACUGGUUCGCUAUUAUACUUACUUCAGAAUCGAACUAGUGCUUAUGAGACUCGGCUUGGUGCUAAUAAGAAUGCCCUCCCUGCCUCUUCUUCUAAGACCCCUGAGCCGAGAUCCUUAACAGCUUGGGAGAAUAGUAGGUAUAUUGCCCUAUAACUAUCGAUCUUGCUUUACGGCAUCUUAGCCUGUCUUUGCUGUCUUUGAUUCUAGGACUGCUGCAUCUCGGAUCGACCCUUUCUCUUUUAAUAAGGAAUUGUAAACAGACAUAACUUCUAAUAACUCACAAGUAUUGUGAGUGGAGCUCCCGCCGAGUAUCAAUGGUGGAUGAGCUAUGAGUUUCAUUGAACAGAGGUCUGGAGACGAGAAGGAAACUUUCUGAAGCCUGAACCUUAAUGCUUGUUUGAACCUCACCUAUUACUGCUUACUCACUUUCGAAAGCUUCUUCUAAGGCUGCUGAUUCCUCUAAAUAACUGGCUGGUUACUUCUCUGGGCGCCAAUACGAGAUUCUCUGAGGAUUAUUAUCCGACUGCUCUUGCUGCUUCCUUUGCCACUUACUUGCGCACAGCUUAUGACACCGAUCGAGCUUAUUCCCGAUGCUCAACGAGACUUGUUCUUUUGCCGAACCUUACUAACGGAUCUUGUUCUUCUUGGGCCUGUCUUCGGUCAACAAAUAUGGAAUGGAAAAACGACUCUCCUGUUCGGCAAGCAUUAACCGCGCUGCGCUGAGAUACUUUAGGACAAGAAAAAUAAAUGGAAUCCUCUUUCGAGCUCCCUAACACCGAAAACAGCACUUGCUUAUUACUCUUAUCUGUAGUUAACACAACGUCUUGCUUAUUGCGCCUGCCCCUCUCCCAGAAAUGACUCUAAACUCCAAUGUAAUAGCUAAUGAUGCGCGCCCUAUCUUCUUCUUUCACUAGCGCCCAACGUCGAGCUCAGUUAGCGAGUUCUUUUUCAUAAAAUAAUGGAACUGGACAUUAGAUAGAAAAUAAGGUAACCAAAGAGAUAGCUAGCUUACAGGAUUUAACAACCAGACUGGAUACUCUACUCUAUUACUUUGACUUUGUCUGAGCUAUAGCGGCACCCGAUCCCGAUCCAACUAGUAACUACAUAGAGGCUCUUUCAACUCCCACUCAGGAUCCAGCGGACUUUCCUCUUACAACAAAAGCACCGAAACAAUUUGUUUAGUUUGAGCAAGAGUAGGAAAGUACUGUUUUCAGCUUCUGUUGAUUGAUUCUUGAGUUGACAACAUACAUAGAUUCCACUCGAACAGUCUAUUUUCCACGAUACUUUGCAUAGAGGUUAAAGGGAAAG
RNAcentral lists this long non-coding RNA (3213 nucleotides) under Musa acuminata (dwarf banana). RNAcentral's name for it is "long non-coding RNA (MACU_LNC008321)". The record is from RNAcentral. Lineage: Eukaryota; Viridiplantae; Streptophyta; Magnoliopsida; Zingiberales; Musaceae.